GACGAACGCUGGCGGCGUGCUUAACACAUGCAAGUCGAACGGAAAGGCCCUGCUUUUGUGGGGUGCUCGAGUGGCGAACGGGUGAGUAACACGUGAGUAACCUGCCCUUGACUUUGGGAUAACUUCAGGAAACUGGGGCUAAUACCGGAUAGGAUCUCCUGCUGCAUGGUGGGGGUUGGAAAGAUUCGGCGGUUGGGGAUGGACUCGCGGCUUAUCAGCUUGUUGGUGGGGUAGUGGCUUACCAAGGCUUUGACGGAUAGCCGGCAUGAGAGGGUGACCGGGCACAUGGGGACUGAGAGACGGCGCAGAAGCGUACGGGAGGCAGUAGUGGAGAAUAUUGCAGAAUGGGCGGAAGCCUGAUGCAGCAACGCCGCGUGCGGGAUGACGGCCUUCGGGGUGUAAACCGCUUUCGCAUGUGACGAAGCGGGAGUGACGGUAAUGGGUAAGGAAGCACCGGCUAACUACGUG
Molecule: ribosomal RNA, 468 nt
Filed under: uncultured bacterium
Lineage: Bacteria
Description: partial 16S ribosomal RNA
Rfam family: Bacterial small subunit ribosomal RNA
Source: RNAcentral